UGCAAAAGAGUGAUGAAAGGAAACAGAGGAGGAAUGUUUUGAAGGAGCAAAGCAGAAAGGUAAAUUCAUUUAAAUUUCAAUUAACAUCUUUCACCUACCAUGCCAUCAUUUUUUUAUAAGUAUUGUGUUAUCAGGCCAAGUACUUUUUUGUUUGAUAGAGAUGAGUUACUAAUUUUAACUUUGUAUUUGCUUGAUUAUCUGAGGUCAAGGGCUCAGAUGGGAACAACCCCAGAAUGUUUGCAUAAAGGAAGAGCAAGAAAAAGAACGCCCACUUUUACCUUGUCUUUUUUGGCAAGCUUGUUUGACAAGAAAAGUACCCAGACCUGGACUGGCACAAGGCCAACAUCUGUUCCCAAUCCUUUUCUUUACAACAAACAAACUAUUCG
This 386-nucleotide long non-coding RNA is filed under the name Triticum aestivum (bread wheat). RNAcentral's name for it is "long non-coding RNA (TAES_LNC015481)". Lineage: Eukaryota; Viridiplantae; Streptophyta; Magnoliopsida; Poales; Poaceae. The record is from RNAcentral.